This 581-nucleotide ribosomal RNA is filed under the name uncultured bacterium. RNAcentral's name for it is "bacterial SSU rRNA". It matches the Rfam family "Bacterial small subunit ribosomal RNA", at positions 102 to 669 of the family's 1533-position model. The record is from RNAcentral.
ACGGGUGAGUAACACGUGGGCAACCUGCCCUUGAGACUGGGAUAACUUCGGGAAACCGGAGCUAAUACCGGAUAAUACAAGGAACCUCCUGGUUCCUUGUUGAAAGAUGGUUUCGGCUAUCACUUAAGGAUGGGCCCGCGGCGCAUUAGCUAGUUGGUGAGGUAACGGCUCACCAAGGCGACGAUGCGUAGCCGACCUGAGAGGGUGAUCGGCCACACUGGGACUGAGACACGGCCCAGACUCCUACGGGAGGCAGCAGUAGGGAAUCUUCCACAAUGGACGAAAGUCUGAUGGAGCAACGCCGCGUGAGUGAUGAAGGCCUUCGGGUCGUAAAGCUCUGUUGUUAGGGAAGAACAAGUGCGAGAGUAACUGCUCGCACCUUGACGGUACCUAACCAGAAAGCCACGGCUAACUACGUGCCAGCAGCCGCGGUAAUACGUAGGUGGCAAGCGUUAUCCGGAAUUAUUGGGCGUAAAGCGCGCGCAGGUGGUUUCUUAAGUCUGAUGUGAAAGCCCACGGCUCAACCGUGGAGGGUCAUUGGAAACUGGGGAACUUGAGUGCAGAAGAGGAAAGUGGAAUUC